This 460-nucleotide ribosomal RNA is filed under the name uncultured bacterium. RNAcentral describes it as "partial 16S ribosomal RNA". It matches the Rfam family "Bacterial small subunit ribosomal RNA", at positions 338 to 795 of the family's 1533-position model. The record is from RNAcentral.
CCUACGGGUGGCAGCAGUGAGGAAUAUUGGUCAAUGGACGAGAGUCUGAACCAGCCAAGUAGCGUGAAGGAUGACUGCCCUAUGGGUUGUAAACUUCUUUUAUAUGGGAAUAAAAUGUUCCACGUGUGGGAUUUUGUAUGUACCAUAUGAAUAAGGAUCGGCUAACUCCGUGCCAGCAGCCGCGGUAAUACGGAGGAUCCGAGCGUUAUCCGGAUUUAUUGGGUUUAAAGGGAGCGUAGGUGGAUUGUUAAGUCAGUUGUGAAAGUUUGCGGCUCAACCGUAAAAUUGCAGUUGAUACUGGCAGUCUUGAGUACAGUAGAGGUAGGCGGAAUGCGUGGUGUAGCGGUGAAAUGCUUAGAUAUCACGAAGAACUCCGAUUGCGAAGGCAGUUCACUGGACUGCAACUGACACUGAGGCUCGAAAGUGUGGGUAUCAAACAGGAUUAGAUACCCUUGUAGUC